CCUACGGGCGGCUGCAGUGAGGAAUAUUGGUCAAUGGGCGGAAGCCUGAACCAGCCAAGUCGCGUGAGGGAUUAAGGCCCUAUGGGUGGUAAACCUCUUUUGUCAGGGAGCAAGGUCGUCCACGUGUGGGCGUAUGGAGAGGACCUGAAGAAAAAGCAUCGGCAAACCACGUGCCAGCAGACGCGGUAAUACGGAGGAUGCGAGCGUUAUCCGGAUUUAUUGGGUUAAACGGGUGCGUAGGCGGGAGCUUAAGUCAGCGGUAAAAUUGCGGUGCUCAAAGCCGUAGAGCCGUUGAAACUGGGGCUCUUGAGUGAGCGAGAAGUAUGCGGAAUGCGUGGUGUAGCGGUGAAAUGCAUAGAUAUCACGCAGAACCCCGAUUGCGAAGGCAGCAUACCGGCGCUCAACUGACGCUGAGGCACGAAAGUGCGGGUAUCGAACAGGAUUAGAUACCCCUGUAGUC
This 460-nucleotide ribosomal RNA is filed under the name uncultured bacterium. RNAcentral describes it as "partial 16S ribosomal RNA". It matches the Rfam family "Bacterial small subunit ribosomal RNA", at positions 338 to 795 of the family's 1533-position model. The record is from RNAcentral.